CAUUCCACCGCAACAGCUCUGGCAGUUGCUUUCUCUUUCUGUCUCUGUUAGCUUUUCAUCUUCCUGAGAGUCCAGAAGCCUCCCCGUCAGAAGUGUGUUAACAGCAGUUCAGCCCAUUUCAGGGUGAAGGACAGUUUGUCAUCUAACUGUUUUAACCCUCUUAGGGAGAAAGUACAUAGACUGAAAAGAAUUUGACUGAACGAAGACUCGAUCACACGCUGUGUACCCGCCCUGUUUUAUGAUGUGUCUGGCCGCAGAUCUCUGAUUUAGUCCUACCUGGAGUUCAUUGAACUUCUUGGAUAUGUAGAUUAAUGUUUUUCAUCAAAUUUGGGCUUGAAUUUCUCAUUCAUUUGGUAGCUUAGAGUCCCAGGAUUAAGAUAUGGUGAUGCAUGGAGGGAGAACCCCACUCUGGGAAGAGAAGAGCAACAGCAUCUCCUGUCUCCCUCAGUCCAGGCUUUGUGCCAGAUUAUCUCACGGAUCCUCACAAGUACACAGCCUAGGUGACUUAAAAGAAGAAGAGAUUAAGACACAGACAGAUACAGAGGAAAGAUUACAUGAAGACUCAGGAAAAUGACGCCAUCUACAAGCGAAGGAGAGAGGCCUCAGGAUAAAUCAACCCUACAGACACCUUAA
This 633-nucleotide long non-coding RNA is filed under the name Homo sapiens (human). RNAcentral's name for it is "HSALNT0340509". Lineage: Eukaryota; Metazoa; Chordata; Mammalia; Primates; Hominidae. The record is from RNAcentral.